GUAGAGUUAGAGUGGAAUUAGGGGAAAUCCCUAGAUCGGAUAACAGUGCUUCCACAUCGAGGAGACGCCGGCAGGAUGAGUAGAGUCGUUGUUGAGUGAUUGGAAUAUGGAACUUUUGAUGGAUUUCUAGGGUUAGGGUUUGAAGAGAAGUUACAAAAGGAUUAAUUUCUAGGGUUAGGGUUUUGUGAUUCGGAAGAUUGAUGAACACCAUGACUGUUCG
This 220-nucleotide unclassified non-coding RNA is filed under the name Hevea brasiliensis (rubber tree). The record is from RNAcentral. Lineage: Eukaryota; Viridiplantae; Streptophyta; Magnoliopsida; Malpighiales; Euphorbiaceae.